This 253-nucleotide ribosomal RNA is filed under the name uncultured bacterium. RNAcentral's name for it is "partial 16S ribosomal RNA". It matches the Rfam family "Bacterial small subunit ribosomal RNA", at positions 524 to 776 of the family's 1533-position model. The record is from RNAcentral.
GACGUAGGGCGCAAGCGUUGUCCGGAAUUAUUGGGCGUAAAGAGCUCGUAGGCGGCUUGGUGCGUCGGAUGUGAAAGCCCGGGGCUUAACCCCGGGUCUGCAUUCGAUACGGGCAGGCUAGAGUUCGGUAGGGGAGAUCGGAAUUCCUGGUGUAGCGGUGAAAUGCGCAGAUAUCAGGAGGAACACCGGUGGCGAAGGCGGAUCUCUGGGCCGAUACUGACGCUGAGGAGCGAAAGCGUGGGGAGCGAACAGG